GACGAACGCUGGCGGCGUGCUUAACACAUGCAAGUCGAACGGAAAGGCCCUGCUUUUGUGGGGUGCUCGAGUGGCGAACGGGUGAGUAACACGUGAGUAACCUGCCCUUGACCUUGGGAUAACUUCAGGAAACUGGGGCUAAUACCGGAUAGGAGCUCCUGCUGCAUGGUGGGGGUUGGAAAGUUUCGGCGGUUGGGGAUGGACUCGCGGCUUAUCAGCUUGUUGGUGGGGUAGUGGCUUACCAAGGCUUUGACGGGUAGCCGGCCUGGGAGGGUGACCGGCCACAUUGGGACUGAGAUACGGCCCAGACUCCUACGGGAGGCAGCAGUGGGGAAUAUUGCACAAUGGGCGGAAGCCUGAUGCAGCAACGCCGCGUGCGGGAUGACGGCCUUCGGGUUGUAAACCGCUUUCGCCUGUGACGAAGCGUGAGUGACGGUAAUAGGUAAAGAAGCACCGGCUAACUACGUG
RNAcentral lists this ribosomal RNA (468 nucleotides) under uncultured bacterium. RNAcentral's name for it is "partial 16S ribosomal RNA". It matches the Rfam family "Bacterial small subunit ribosomal RNA", at positions 28 to 507 of the family's 1533-position model. The record is from RNAcentral.